UACGUAGGGGGCAAGCGUUGUCCGGAUUUACUGGGCGUAAAGCGCGCGUAGGCGGAAAGUUAAGCGGGGCCUGAAAGCCCCCGGCUCAACCGGGGAGGGUGGCAUCGAACUGGCUUUCUUGAGGGCGAUAGAGGAGCGUGGAAUUCCUGGUGUAGCGGUGAAAUGCGCAGAUAUCAGGAGGAACACCGAUGGCGAAGGCAGGUCUCUGGGCAUUAACUGACGCUGAGGAGCGAAAGCAUGGGGAGCGAACAGG
RNAcentral lists this ribosomal RNA (253 nucleotides) under uncultured bacterium. Its description in RNAcentral is "partial 16S ribosomal RNA". It matches the Rfam family "Bacterial small subunit ribosomal RNA", at positions 524 to 776 of the family's 1533-position model. The record is from RNAcentral.